AUGCGCCAGGUACCGCCGGAGCCGCAGCCGGAGAAGAAGAAGAAGCGGGCGUACCGGUUCCGGCCGGGCACGGUGGCGCUGCGGGAGGUCAGGAAGUACCAGAAGUCCACCGGGCCGCUCAUCCCCUUCGCGCCCUUCGUCCGCCUGGUUAAGGAGAUCACCAACGACCUCACGAAGGGCGAGCUGAACCACUGGACUCCUCAGGCGCUAUUCGCGCUGCAAGAGGCUGCAGAGUAUCACAUAGUCGAUGUAUUUGAAAAGGCAAAUCUAUGUGCCAUCCAUGCUAAGCGUGUUACCAUCAUGCAAAAGGACAUACAGCUCGCGAGGCGUAUCGGGGGGAGAAGGCUUUGGUGA
Molecule: ribosomal RNA, 354 nt
Filed under: Triticum aestivum (bread wheat)
Lineage: Eukaryota; Viridiplantae; Streptophyta; Magnoliopsida; Poales; Poaceae
Description: partial small subunit ribosomal RNA
Source: RNAcentral